UACGGAAGGCAGCGGUGGGGAAUAUUGCACAAUGGGCGCAAGCCUGAUGCAGCCAUGCCGCGUGUAUGAAGAAGGCCUUCGGGUUGUAAAGUACUUUCAGUCGUGAGGAAGGUGUUAAGGUUAAUAACCUUAGCAAUUGACGUUAGCGACAGAAGAAGCACCGGCUAACUCCGUGCCAGCAGCCGCGGUAAUACGGAGGGUGCGAGCGUUAAUCGGAAUUACUGGGCGUAAAGGGCACGCAGGCGGUUAAUUAAGUUGGAUGUGAAAUCCCCGGGCUUAACCUGGGAAUGGCAUUCAAGACUGGUUAGCUAGAGUCUUGUAGAGGGGGUAGAAUUCCAUGUGUAGCGGUGAAAUGCGUAGAGAUGUGGAGGAAUACCGGUGGCGAAGGCGGCCCCUGGACAAAGACUGACGCUCAUGUGCGAAAGCGUGGGGAGCAAACGAGGGAUUAGAUACC
This 454-nucleotide ribosomal RNA is filed under the name uncultured bacterium. RNAcentral's name for it is "bacterial SSU rRNA". It matches the Rfam family "Bacterial small subunit ribosomal RNA", at positions 340 to 786 of the family's 1533-position model. The record is from RNAcentral.